Molecule: ribosomal RNA, 1554 nt
Organism: Staphylococcus aureus subsp. aureus NCTC 8325
Lineage: Bacteria; Bacillati; Bacillota; Bacilli; Caryophanales; Staphylococcaceae
Rfam family: Bacterial small subunit ribosomal RNA
Source: Rfam
UUUAUGGAGAGUUUGAUCCUGGCUCAGGAUGAACGCUGGCGGCGUGCCUAAUACAUGCAAGUCGAGCGAACGGACGAGAAGCUUGCUUCUCUGAUGUUAGCGGCGGACGGGUGAGUAACACGUGGAUAACCUACCUAUAAGACUGGGAUAACUUCGGGAAACCGGAGCUAAUACCGGAUAAUAUUUUGAACCGCAUGGUUCAAAAGUGAAAGACGGUCUUGCUGUCACUUAUAGAUGGAUCCGCGCUGCAUUAGCUAGUUGGUAAGGUAACGGCUUACCAAGGCAACGAUGCAUAGCCGACCUGAGAGGGUGAUCGGCCACACUGGAACUGAGACACGGUCCAGACUCCUACGGGAGGCAGCAGUAGGGAAUCUUCCGCAAUGGGCGAAAGCCUGACGGAGCAACGCCGCGUGAGUGAUGAAGGUCUUCGGAUCGUAAAACUCUGUUAUUAGGGAAGAACAUAUGUGUAAGUAACUGUGCACAUCUUGACGGUACCUAAUCAGAAAGCCACGGCUAACUACGUGCCAGCAGCCGCGGUAAUACGUAGGUGGCAAGCGUUAUCCGGAAUUAUUGGGCGUAAAGCGCGCGUAGGCGGUUUUUUAAGUCUGAUGUGAAAGCCCACGGCUCAACCGUGGAGGGUCAUUGGAAACUGGAAAACUUGAGUGCAGAAGAGGAAAGUGGAAUUCCAUGUGUAGCGGUGAAAUGCGCAGAGAUAUGGAGGAACACCAGUGGCGAAGGCGACUUUCUGGUCUGUAACUGACGCUGAUGUGCGAAAGCGUGGGGAUCAAACAGGAUUAGAUACCCUGGUAGUCCACGCCGUAAACGAUGAGUGCUAAGUGUUAGGGGGUUUCCGCCCCUUAGUGCUGCAGCUAACGCAUUAAGCACUCCGCCUGGGGAGUACGACCGCAAGGUUGAAACUCAAAGGAAUUGACGGGGACCCGCACAAGCGGUGGAGCAUGUGGUUUAAUUCGAAGCAACGCGAAGAACCUUACCAAAUCUUGACAUCCUUUGACAACUCUAGAGAUAGAGCCUUCCCCUUCGGGGGACAAAGUGACAGGUGGUGCAUGGUUGUCGUCAGCUCGUGUCGUGAGAUGUUGGGUUAAGUCCCGCAACGAGCGCAACCCUUAAGCUUAGUUGCCAUCAUUAAGUUGGGCACUCUAAGUUGACUGCCGGUGACAAACCGGAGGAAGGUGGGGAUGACGUCAAAUCCCAUCAUGCCCCUUAUGAUUUGGGCUACACACGUGCUACAAUGGACAAUACAAAGGGCAGCGAAACCGCGAGGUCAAGCAAAUCCCAUAAAGUUGUUCUCAGUUCGGAUUGUAGUCUGCAACUCGACUACAUGAAGCUGGAAUCGCUAGUAAUCGUAGAUCAGCAUGCUACGGUGAAUACGUUCCCGGGUCUUGUACACACCGCCCGUCACACCACGAGAGUUUGUAACACCCGAAGCCGGUGGAGUAACCUUUUAGGAGCUAGCCGUCGAAGGUGGGACAAAUGAUUGGGGUGAAGUCGUAACAAGGUAGCCGUAUCGGAAGGUGCGGCUGGAUCACCUCCUUU